UGGUGGAGCGAUUUGUCUGGUUAAUUCCGAUAACGAACGAGACUCUGGCCUACUAAAUAGUCCGCGGAUUCGCCCACCGUGGGAGGUCUGUGCCGUGACUUCUUAGGGGAACGAAGCGUCAACUAGGCGCGCGAGAUUGAGCAAUAACA
This 149-nucleotide ribosomal RNA is filed under the name uncultured eukaryote. Its description in RNAcentral is "partial 18S ribosomal RNA". It matches the Rfam family "Eukaryotic small subunit ribosomal RNA", at positions 1299 to 1458 of the family's 1831-position model. The record is from RNAcentral.